AGGCCAGACUUCUACGGGAGGCAGCAGUGGGGAAUAUUGCACAAUGGGCGCAAGCCUGAUGCAGCCAUGCCGCGUGUAUGAAGAAGGCCUUCGGGUUGUAAAGUACUUUCAGCGGGGAGGAAGGGGUUAAGGUUAAUAACCUUAGCCAUUGACGUUACCCGCAGAAGAAGCACCGGCUAACUCCGUGCCAGCAGCCGCGGUAAUACGGAGGGUGCAAGCGUUAAUCGGAAUUACUGGGCGUAAAGCGCACGCAGGCGGUCUGUCAAGUCGGAUGUGAAAUCCCCGGGCUCAGCCUGGGAACUGCAUUCGAAACUGGCAGGCUGGAGUCUUGUAGAGGGGGGUAGAAUUCCAGGUGUAGCGGUGAAAUGCGUAGAGAUCUGGAGGAAUACCGGUGGCGAAGGCGGCCCCCUGGACAAAGACUGACGCUCAGGUGCGAAAGCGUGGGGAGCAAACAGGAUUAGAUACCCCCGUACA
This 474-nucleotide ribosomal RNA is filed under the name uncultured bacterium. RNAcentral's name for it is "bacterial SSU rRNA". It matches the Rfam family "Bacterial small subunit ribosomal RNA", at positions 328 to 794 of the family's 1533-position model. The record is from RNAcentral.